Molecule: long non-coding RNA, 133 nt
Organism: Melitaea cinxia (Glanville fritillary)
Lineage: Eukaryota; Metazoa; Arthropoda; Insecta; Lepidoptera; Nymphalidae
Exons: 3
Source: RefSeq, a predicted model, not a curated record
UUUGAUAAAAAUUGGUCGGUAAACAAACGUACAGUUCACCUGACGAUAAGCGUUUACCUUAGUUUAUAGAUAUCUGCAACACCAGAAGAAUCGUAAGCGCGUUGCCGACCCUAACCCCGAUUCCCACACGAGC